CACGUAGGGGGCAAGCGUUGUCCGGAUUUAUUGGGCGUAAAGAGCUCGUAGGCGGUUCGGUAAGUCGGGUGUGAAACCUCCAGGCUCAACCUGGAGACGCCACCCGAUACUGCUGUGACUCGAGUCCGGUAGGGGAGCGUGGAAUUCCUGGUGUAGCGGUGAAAUGCGCAGAUAUCAGGAGGAACACCAGUGGCGAAGGCGGCUCUCUGGGCCUUUCCUGACGCUGAGACGCGAAAGCGUGGGGAGCGAACCGG
Molecule: ribosomal RNA, 254 nt
Filed under: uncultured bacterium
Lineage: Bacteria
Description: partial 16S ribosomal RNA
Rfam family: Bacterial small subunit ribosomal RNA
Source: RNAcentral